Molecule: ribosomal RNA, 403 nt
Filed under: uncultured bacterium
Lineage: Bacteria
Description: partial 16S ribosomal RNA
Rfam family: Bacterial small subunit ribosomal RNA
Source: RNAcentral
UGGGGAAUAUUUGGCAAUGGGCGAAAGCUUGACCAAGCAAUACCGCGUGAAGGAUGAAGGCUCUAGGGUUGUAAACUUCUUUUCUGAUUGAUGAAUUUUGACAGUAAAUCAGGAAUAAGCAUCGGCUAACUCUGUGCCAGCAGCCGCGGUAAUACAGAGGAUGCAAGCGUUAUCCGGAAUUAUUGGGCGUAAAGCGUCCGUAGAUGGUUUUUUAAGUUCAAUGUUAAAUUGCAGGGCUUAACUUUGAAAAUGCAUUGAAAACUGAAAAACUUUAGUACGAUAGAGGCAAAGGGAAUUUUCAGUGUAGCGGUGAAAUGCGUAGAUAUUGGAAAGAACACCUAUUGCGAAGGCACUUUGCUAGGUUGAUACUGAAAUUGAGGGACGAAAGCUAGGGUAGUAAAAA